UCUACUUUAUCUAUCCCAAUUGCUAUCAAUGUAUUCCAUUGGAAAUGUGGACAGUAGGCACAAUGUCUAGAUACACUGUGUUCUCAUUUUUUAUUUCUUAUAUUUUGAAAAUGUUCCAAUAAUCUCACAUGCAAUUUUCGAAUCGUACGACCAAUGUAUUGAGCUCCACAACCACACUGCAGUAAAUAAACUACGUGGGUGGUGGAGCAUUGAAUAAAUUUAUUGAUCUGAUAAGUUUGUUGAGUAUAAGUGCCUAAAAAUACAUCUGUGCUCUUUUUUUGAAAAUUGCAUGUGGAACACCUUCCACAUCUAAAAAAGCCUUUUAGUAUUUGAUUUGAAAAAAUAUGUGUGGGUUGAG
Molecule: non-coding RNA, 358 nt
Organism: Pelobates cultripes (western spadefoot toad)
Lineage: Eukaryota; Metazoa; Chordata; Amphibia; Anura; Pelobatidae
Source: the annotation of a GenBank genome assembly